AUACGGAGGAUGCAAGCGUUAUCCGGAUUUAUUGGGUUUAAAGGGUGCGUAGGCGGAUGAUUAAGCGUGAGGUGAAAUGCCACUGCUCAACAGUGGAACUGCCUCGCGAACUGGUUGUCUUGAAUGCUCCUGCCGUGGGAGGAAUGCGUGGUGUAGCGGUGAAAUGCAUAGAGAUCACACAGAACACCGAUUGCGAAGGCAUCUCACGAAGGGGUGAUUGACGCUGAGGCACGAAAGCGUGGGGAUCAAACAGGAUUAGAUACCCUGGUAGUCCACGCAGUAAACGAUGAUAACUAACCGCUGGGUCGUAGUGAUUCAGUGGCCAAGCGAAAGCGAUAAGUUAUCCACCUGGGGAGUACGACCGCAAGGUUGAAACUCAAAUGAAUUGACGGGG
RNAcentral lists this ribosomal RNA (394 nucleotides) under uncultured bacterium. RNAcentral describes it as "partial 16S ribosomal RNA". It matches the Rfam family "Bacterial small subunit ribosomal RNA", at positions 523 to 918 of the family's 1533-position model. The record is from RNAcentral.